GAGACCUGUCACCUUGCCCACCCCGAGCUCUGCCUUCCCUGUAUCCACGGAAGUCCCCUGCUUCAAUGGGAGCGGAGCCUGAGACCAGAUUUGCGAUUUCUUCCUGGGUGUUCCAGGUGCCCAAGUUGGCCAGGAGCUCUCAUCCCUGCAGGGGAAACUGAGGCUCAGAGAAUAAUGCAACUUGCCUGAAGGCCCACAGCAAGAUCUGAAGCCAGAGACUCUGUGCUCAACUUACCCUUUCCAAAAGUCAUGUGUGCUAGGUCCAGGGAGCUCACCACCUCGGGUGCAGGAGCUGACACCAGGUACAGUGGGUGUCCACAUACCUAGUGCCCGUAUACUCAGAUGCUGGCACACCCAUGUGGAAGGGGCCCGUGCGUGUCCUGUCACAGCAGCCCCUGCGUGUUCCCUGGGAGGCACGUUCACAGUUCAUGAAAAAUUCUCCUUGAUGUGUGUGCAGCCGGCCUCAGUCCCCGUCACCAGCCGCGUCCUCCCGCCUUCCUCGAAUUGCUCAGCCUUCAUUUAUGUCUUCAUAGGGGCCUGAACAGCAGGAACGGAGCCCCAGGACGACAGGCCACACCAUGCUCACUGCUCCCGGGGCUCGGAGGCCCCAGGGGAAGUCAGGAGACACCUUCAGCACUUGUCCCAGCAGCGGCCUCCGAGGGUGGGUGGGAUUAGAAG
Tupaia belangeri chinensis (Chinese tree shrew) is the source of this 678-nucleotide long non-coding RNA. RefSeq lists it as uncharacterized. Lineage: Eukaryota; Metazoa; Chordata; Mammalia; Scandentia; Tupaiidae. The transcript has 3 exons. The record is from RefSeq and is a predicted model, not a curated record.